Molecule: long non-coding RNA, 411 nt
Organism: Mytilus trossulus (common blue mussel)
Lineage: Eukaryota; Metazoa; Mollusca; Bivalvia; Mytilida; Mytilidae
Exons: 3
Source: RefSeq, a predicted model, not a curated record
UAACCAGCAUCAUAUCAAUCAGCAAAAUUAUUUACCGGUAUUUUUGUGAAAUUUCAGUUCUAUAGGUUAUCAAUUAGAGAAAUUUUGGUUUGCAUAUCAGUAGUGCAAGUGAAUUAGAAAUAGUUCCGAGUUGUGUGUGUGUUUUUUUUUAAUAGUCUAUAGAAUUAGAAGGACUUCCAAAUCCAACCAUGUAGUAUGGAAUGUUGUUGAGAUAUGGUUUUGGUCAAUGGAUGUUAAUGAAGGACCUGUAGUACAAAGUAUAUCACUGGAUUUAGCUCUUUGUCUAAGUGUAUUAUUAAAGUACUUUGCUUUGAGCUCAGUUCAUUGUUAUGCAAUUCAUUCUUUGUGAAAUAAAGAUUUGACAGAAAACUCUCAUGUACAAGGAUUUGUCAAAGUAGUACCACCUCUAUU